Molecule: ribosomal RNA, 460 nt
Filed under: uncultured bacterium
Lineage: Bacteria
Description: partial 16S ribosomal RNA
Rfam family: Bacterial small subunit ribosomal RNA
Source: RNAcentral
CCUACGGGGGGCAGCAGUGAGGAAUAUUGGUCAAUGGACGAGAGUCUGAACCAGCCAAGUAGCGUGAAGGAUGACUGCCCUAUGGGUUGUAAACUUCUUUUAUAUGGGAAUAAAACGUUCCACGUGUGGGAUUUUGUAUGUACCAUAUGAAUAAGGAUCGGCUAACUCCGUGCCAGCAGCCGCGGUAAUACGGAGGAUCCGAGCGUUAUCCGGAGUUAUUGGGUUUAAAGGGAGCGUAGGUGGAUUGUUAAGUCAGUUGUGAAAGUUUGCGGCUCAACCGUAAAAUUGCAGUUGAAACUGGCAGUCUUGAGUACAGUAGAGGUGGGCGGAAUUCGUGGUGUAGCGGUGAAAUGCUUAGAUAUCACGAAGAACUCCGAUUGCGAAGGCAGUUCACUGGACUGCAACUGACACUGAGGCUCGAAAGUGUGGGUAUCAAACAGGAUUAGAUACCCGUGUAGUC